RNAcentral lists this ribosomal RNA (253 nucleotides) under uncultured bacterium. RNAcentral's name for it is "partial 16S ribosomal RNA". It matches the Rfam family "Bacterial small subunit ribosomal RNA", at positions 524 to 776 of the family's 1533-position model. The record is from RNAcentral.
UACGUAGGGACCAAGCGUUGUCCGGAAUCAUUGGGCGUAAAGAGCGUGUAGGCGGCCUGUUAAGUCUUGCGUGAAAUCUCGGGGCUCAACCCCGAGCGGUCGUGAGAAACUGGCAGGCUAGAGUGCGGGAGAGGUGAGUGGAACUCCGAGUGUAGAGGUGAAAUUCGUAGAUAUUCGGAAGAACACCCGUGGCGAAGGCGGCUCUCUGGGACGGUACUGACGCUGAGACGCGAAAGCGUGGGGAGCGAACAGG